GUCAUGCAGGAGAACUAUGAGAAUGUGACCUCACUGGAGAAGUCGACACAGAGUAGCAAUGCUGUGUAUGGCUUGACGCAGGUUUGAAAAUUCAUCUUCCAUACCUAGAAGAAAUGAUUUGGACAGAGAAUGUUUAGACAGACACAAUCAGGUUUAUAUUUUUUAUUUUGGCUUUUGGAGCUCCUCUGUGCUAUCCCAGAUGCUUCUCUUUGCUUCUAAGCUUUAAGCUGAACCCCCAAGAAAGCUAUUUUGGGUGCGUGCAAAAGUUGUUUCUAGCCGAAGCCUGAGUUCCAGAUGUAUUGUUUUCCUUUUCAAUUUUAAUAAAAUUUACCUCUUUUAAGAACA
Molecule: long non-coding RNA, 345 nt
Organism: Gopherus evgoodei (Goodes thornscrub tortoise)
Lineage: Eukaryota; Metazoa; Chordata; Testudines; Testudinidae
Exons: 2
Source: RefSeq, a predicted model, not a curated record